AAAUGACAAAGGCAAACUAUUUGAAAAGAUAGGACGCAAAGUUUAGGGUCUAAGGUUUAAUACUAAUGAUCGCCUGACUACCAAU
This 85-nucleotide non-coding RNA is filed under the name Oceanobacillus limi. Its description in RNAcentral is "GEMM cis-regulatory element". It matches the Rfam family "c-di-GMP-I riboswitch aptamer". From Rfam's summary of the family: GEMM was predicted in a large-scale screen for bacterial structured RNA regulatory elements. Genes associated with GEMM are involved in a diverse array of functions, including chemotaxis regulation, signal transduction, secretion and chitin. Lineage: Bacteria; Bacillati; Bacillota; Bacilli; Caryophanales; Bacillaceae. The record is from RNAcentral.